Dreissena polymorpha is the source of this 7042-nucleotide long non-coding RNA. RefSeq lists it as uncharacterized. The record is from RefSeq and is a predicted model, not a curated record. The transcript is spliced from 25 exons. NCBI's taxonomy places the organism in Eukaryota, Metazoa, Mollusca, Bivalvia, Myida, Dreissenidae.
AAAAAUCAAGGAAAUUUUUACAAUUGAAGCGAUUAAUUCACAUGAGUAAGCUUUCCAAGCAGAAUACUUUUGCUGUCUAUAGUUUGGACAGUAGUAGAUUUACAAACGCGCUUUUGAUGCUGUUGCUGACAAAGAAAGGCAGUAACUACUUCAUUGUGAACACCCAGGGCACGAUACACCCAUGGGGUUUGCCUAAAAUGUGAAUUCCGCCCAAUAUUGUAAACAAGGUGCUAAAAGUAAACACGUCCGGUUUUGUUACGAGCGCUUUGCACUCCAAGCCCAAAGCACAUAGAAUCAACGCCAGAAAAGGCUUAGAAAAUGACAGCAGUUUCGUUGUGUGAUCCAGUAAGGACUCUGAACGACAUUAAUGAGACCUCAAACUUGACCAUAGCACUCACAGCGAGGCCAUCAUGUUAUCUCAGCUUCUUGAGCUUCAGCAAACAUUAUUAGCCAACAAGAUGAAAACAUCAUUGAAGUGAAAGUCAAAAACAAUCCUGACUACCUUCGGGCACAAAUACUACAACUUGCUGAAGAAAUUCAGCACGAAUAUGUCUUGCGUCAGCCUAGCACGCCUCCUAUUAACUCUUCCAACAGCGGAGCCUUGAGCUAGUUCCUAGCAAUCAUAGAUCGGUACCCGGCUGAAAAACAGGAUCUCUGGUCAGCUGGGCCCAGAUGCCCAGCAACACUUCCUAGCCCAGGACCUUGGGGCAAAUGCUCAACAUGUCCUAUCUGCAUGGUGAAGCUAGUCUAAACCUUGGGCUCCAAACUUUCCUGCUGUGGAGCUGAGAUUACCUCAUCCAUAAGAGGGCUUAUACUCACAAGUUCAGGCCCAGAGAACGGUGUUCCCCAACUACAACACAACCAGUACGUCUCAAUAGAGGACACCCUUCCUGAAAACCUCGCUGGGUGCGACUGCGCCAUAUGUGACCCUUCAGUGAAAUGAGAUUCCAGGCGGAAUGUCAAACCGGUACUACUCCGGUCUCCAGCAAUAGCCUCAGCCUUGGACGCAGCUUAUCGUGUUAAGUGUUUGGCAGUACCAAGCCUAGUCGACGAAGCAGCAAAAACAACAGUAGCAGUCUAGUCAAGGGUCACCCCACAACGUUGAGUGCCUAGCGAUGAAAUCAUCCACCGUUACAUGUAGUUGAAAACCUGGGUAGCAGAGCAAUGAGUAUGUCCCAGGAGCAUUUGCAGUCAUCGUCUCCAGAUUAUGAGAUUCCCAUGCUCCACAACCCUCAGUCUAUGAACAUCAUGCAGAGCGAACCUUGGACGUCCCUUGACGAAAUCAAACCGGCAAAUCAGAAGGACAGCCUGUUGCUACCGUUGUUAUCAUAUUAACCCCAUACCGAAGAAGCUCAGAGAUAUAAAUGCUGUUUAAUAUGUGCUAGUCUCAACAAACCCCGUGUCUGGUGUGAACAUGUACAAUUGGAGGUCUCUACAUACCCCAUGUCUGGUGUGAACAUGUACAAUUGGAGGUCUCUACAUACUCCGUGUCUGGUGUGAACAUGUACAAUUGAAGGUCUCUGCAUACCCCAUGUCAGGUGUGAACAUGUACAAUUGAAGGUCUCUACAUACUCCAUGUCUGGUGUGAACAUGUACAAUUGAAGGUCUCUACAUACCCCAUGUCUGGUGUGAACAUGUACAAUUGAAGGUCUCUGCAUACCCCAUGUCUGGUGUGAACAUGUACAAUUGAAGGUCUCUACAUUCUCCAUGUCUGGUGUGAACAUGUACAAUUGAAGGUCUCUACAUACCCCAUGUCUGGUGUGAACAUGUACAAUUGAAGGUCUCUACAUACCCCAUGUCUGGUGUGGUACAAAUGAAGGUCUCUAUAUACCCCAUGUCUGAUGUGAACAUGUACAAUUGAAGGUCUCUACAUACCCCAUGUCUGGUGUGAACAUUUACAAUUGAAGGUCUCUACAUACCCCAUGUCUGGUGUGAACAUGUACAAUUGAAGGUCUCUACAUACUCCAUGUCUGGUGUGAACAUGUACAAUUGAAGGUCUCUACAUACCCCAUGUCUGGUGUGAACAUGUACAACUGAAGAUCUCUACAUACCCCAUGUCUGGUGUGAACAUGUACACUUGAAUGUCUCUAUAUACCCCAUGUCUGGUGUAAACAUGUACAAUUGAAGGUCUCUACAUACCACAUGUCUAGUGUGAACAUGUACAAUUAAAGGUCUGUACAUACCCCAUGUCUGGUGUGAACAUGUACAAUUGAAGGUCUCUACGUACCCCAUGUCCGGUGUGAACAUGUACAAUUGAAGGUCUCUACAUACCCCGUGUCCGGUGUGAACAUGUACAAUUGAAGGUCUCUACAUACUCCGUGUCUGGUGUGAACAUGUACAAUUGAAGGUCUCCACAUACUCCAUGUCGGGUGUGAACAUGUACAAUUGAAGGUCUCUACAUACUCCGUGUCUGGUGUGAACAUGUACAAUUGAAGGUCUCUACAUACCUCAUGUCUGGUGUGAACAUGUACAAUUGAAGGUCUCUACAUACCCGAUGUCUGAUGUGAACAUGUACAAUUGAAGGUCUCUACAUACCCCAUGUCUGAUGUGAACAUGUACAAUUGAAGGUCUCUACAUACUCCAUGUCUGGUGUGAACAUGUACAAUUGAAGAUCUCUACAUACCCCAUGUCUGAUGUGAACAUGUACAAUUGAAGGUCUCUACAUACCCCAUGUCUGGUGUGAACAUGUACAAUUGAAGGUCUCUGCAUACUCCAUGUCUGAUGUGAACAUGUACAAUUGAAGGUCUCUACAUACCCCAUGUCUGGUGUGAACAUGUACAAUUGAAGGUCUCUACAUACUCCAUGUCUGAUGUGAACAUGUACAAUUGAAGGUCUCUACAUACUCCAUGUCUGGUGUGAACAUGUACAAUUGAAGGUCUCUACAUACUCCAUGUCUGGUGUGAACAUGUACAAUUGAAGGUCUCUACAUACCCCAUGUCUAGUGUGAACAUGUACAAUUGAAGGUCUCCACAUACUCCAUGUCUGGUGUGAACAUGUACAAUUGAAGGUCUCUACAUACCCCAUGUCUGGUGUGAACAUGUACAAUUGAAGGUCUCUACAUACCCCAUGUCUGAUGUGAACAUGUACAAUUGAAGGUCUCUACAUACCCCAUGUCAGGUGUGAACAUGUACAAUUGAAGGUCUCUACAUACCACAUGUCUGGUGUGAACAUGUACAAUUGAAGGUCUCUACAUACUCCAUGUCUGGUGUGAACAUGUACAAUUGAAGAUCUCUACAUACUCCAUGUCUGGUGUGAACAUGUACAAUUGAAGGUCUCUACAUACCCCAUGUCUGGUGUGAACAUGUACAAUUGAAGGUCUCUACAUACUCCAUGUCUGAUGUGAACAUGUACAAUUGAAGGUCUCUACAUACUCCGUGUCUGGUGUGAACAUGUACAAUUGAAGGUCUCUACAUACCCCAUGUCUGGUGUGAACAUGUACAAUUGAAGGUCUCUACAUACCCCAUGUCAGGUGUGAACAUGUACAAUUGAAGGUCUCUAUAUACCCCAUGUCUGGUGUGAACAUGUACAAUUGAAGGUCUCUACAUACCCCAUGUCAGGUGUGAACAUGUACAAUUGAAGUUCUCUACAUACUCCAUGUCUGGUGUGAACAUAUACAAUUAAAGGUCUCUACAUACCCCAUGUCUGGUGUGAACAUGUACAAUUGAAGGUCUCUGCAUACUCCAUGUCUGGUGUGAACAUAUACAAUUAAAGGUCUGUACAUACCCCAUGUCUGGUGUGAACAUGUACAAUUGAAGGUCUCUACGUACCCCAUGUCCGGUGUGAACAUGUACAAUUGAAGGUCUCUACAUACCCCGUGUCCGGUGUGAACAUGUACAAUUGAAGGUCUCAUCUUUGAAAUUGGGACAGGUGGAAAAUUGAUGCAUUGAUGCAGACAGAAGUCGCAUAAUGACAAAUCACAACAAAAAGUGGAAAUCCAGACAGUCUUGUAGCCAGCCAUGUUUUUAUGUGACCAUCCAAGUUUUGUUAAAAGAAAACAAUAGUUCAUGUUUUAUUGGAACUAUGAUGCUGAUAGUCAUUUUAUGUAAAAGGCUUUUAUGAACUAUAUUUAAAUACUCAGUAUAAUAAGAUUAAGAUUUCUUGAUAAAAGCAAUAAUGAGCAAUAUCAUUUUAAGAGCAAAAUUAGCAAGUCUAUCCAAUUACAUUGUCUGUAUUAUGAAAUUUUAUUUUGGAAAUGUUAAGGAAAAUAUAUAUAUAUGUCUAUGAAUAUUGAUUUUAACAUUUGUCAAAGCUGUUUAAAUGAUGCUGGUAACUUUGACAAAAUUGAAAGAAAAUGUAUUCUUUUCAUGUAAUGAGACAUGCUUCAGUUUUUUUUUUUUGGCUUAACAUGUAAUAUAGAGGUGGUAGUUACACACAUUGUUUAGACAGGUGGAUAAUUUUAAUGCUAAGGCUUUGAUACUCUUAAGUGUGCCCAUUGGUGUCAGGUGUUUUUGUCAAGAAUAUUGUUUAUUAUCUUAGUAUUUCAAGACAAUAUUGAUUGAUUUUAGACAAAAUCAUUUAAUCUUCCUUAAAUUGUCUAUUCUGUAUUUACUACCAGUUAUUUAUUAAUUUGCUUGAACAUGAUUUAAGAAUGACUUUUUUGUUGCUUAAAAUGCUUUAUAUGUUUUAAAACUGAGCAUUUAAAAACGAAAAUAUAGGAUGUGGGAAUAAUGUCUAAAGUUAUGAUAAUUAUUUUUUGUUUUUGUAAAAUUAAUUAUGCCUUAUAUGUUGUGUAUAGGCAUUUAGACGACCAGAUUAACCUGACCAAGAAUUCGUGAUCAAUGUGUAUAUCGGUCAGUACAUUUGUCAUUUGUAUAUAGAGCGAUUGCGAAAUGAUUGUAUUGUUAAUGAAAAUCAUGCGUUUAUUGUUGCCAUUUUGAUUUUCGCUGUUAACAUGUAUUUGUACAAACAAUUUUCAUCCUGUACAUCUUUUAGAUGCCAGAUAAUAAAAACAAACAUUGCUUGUGGAGAUGCUCAUUUAAAACUUUCUUAAUGAUACAGAACAACACAUUCUGAAGAGGCAAAUAUCCUUUAGACAAUAGGAACAUCUUGUUACUAGUAUAUGUAAUGCUUUUCAUUUAACAAAGUCAAGCAACUAUUGAAAGAUUGAUUUAACUUUGUUUUGCAUUAUCUUGAGAAAAAUUAAUAUAUUCUACUUGGAAAUCAGUCAAUUGCAAAUCAAGUGAGAGUGAUUUAACAUGCUAACACUUGUCAAUAAUUGAAUUGUCUCUCUUUGUACAUAAAUAUAGGGAUGUUGUUGCUUGAAAAACAAAGUUGUAUCCGUUGUUAGAUAAUGCUUUUGUUCAUCUCUCAACAUAACAAGUACAUUCAUUUGUUCAUCUCUCAACAUAACAAGUACAUUCAUACAGUUAUUAAAAAUAUGACACUCUUAAUUCUCAGCCAUCAGUUUGUAUUGGGAUGUUGUGGAAUACUUACUAAACUAAUAUACGUCUGUUUAAUGAAUGAAUAGCUUUGGUACAAUACGAUACUCAGUGUUACAAAACAUGUGUAAUAAAAAUAUAAUGUCAUUUAUUUGAAAUCAUAAAAUUUAGUUGUCCAUACAAUGCUUACAGUUUUGCAAUUGCGAUGAUAAAGGAAAUGUUCUGCUCAAAAUGUCUUUUUAAGACAUGUGAAAAUUGUAGCAAUCAUAUUGUACUUGUAUUUAUAUUAUACAUUAUAAGAAUUUACUUACAGCUGAUGAUAGCGGCAGUUUACUAUAUGUGUUACAGUUUGUUCCACUCGACCAUCUGACCAUAUUUCCUUAAAAAUGUGAUUGUUAAUAUUGAACUGUAAUUGAAUGCAUGAAACAUGAUUGUUCUGUUGCUUAACAGCUGAAAAUAGCUUGAUGUUUGUAAAACUGUAUGAAAUGUUUCAAAUAAAUAAUUUUGAUAACAUAAAAAAAUAAAAUUACAUUUUGCGUUACUUUGAAUGCAUAACAAACAAUUGUUACCAUACAAUCAUAUUAGUAUUGAACUUAAUUAAUACUUUUACUUUAAGAUGCAAUUUUUACAAUAAUGUGUUAAUAUUUUCAUCCAUUCCAAAUAAGCAUUGUGCAUUCGUAAAUAUAGGGUGUAUAUACACUGCUUAGAUGCCUUUUUUAAAUUGCUUGUGUACGUCAUAUUGAUUAAAGACUCUUAUGUAUUGCAUAUUUGUGUGUGCCAAUGUCUUACUUAUUUCUUCACAGUCCUUAAAUUACUGCAAAUAGUACUUUAAGAAUGUUAAAAUAUUUAUCUUAACCCUUUCAGUGCGGGAACCUAAUUUUGAAGGCCUUUGCAAACAGUUUGGAUCCAGAUGAGACGCCACAGAACGUGGCGUCUCAUCAGGAUCCAAACUGUUUGCUAUUCUGAUAGUAUUCUUUGAAAAAAAUCGAAGAAAAUGCUAAUUUUAGAAAUUCAGCAGACGACAUUUGAGCAGACGACAAAUUUUCCAGCAUGCAAAGGGUUAACUAUAACCAGGUUAUCUGUUAAUUUAAGUUUCAUACAUAAUAUUCAGUGCUAAUAAAUCAGCACUAUUUAUUGAUUUUUUAUAUGGGCACUUCCCAUGACUUUAUUCGUGAAUAUUUCUUUGAAUGUGCGGUAGGGAAAACAUUGUUUGCUUGAAGGUUAGAAACUUAAUGUUGACAUCUUGAAAGAUGGCAGUAAACAUUUAACUGCAGAGUAGCUGGGAAAAAGAUUGCUGUUAAACAAUGUUAGACAGAACUCCACGCAAGAUAUGUCAUGCAUGCGAUAUGCAUGAACUAUCUUUUUAAAAUAAUUUGGAUCUGAAUUAUCUUUAAGAAAUGGUAUGGUUAUGAGGGUCUCUAUGUGCAAAAUGUUGCAUUUAUUUAGUGUACAAGUUAUUGCUUAAACAUUGAAUUUGUUGUGGAAAUAAUAUAGUUUAUGUGACUUAAAGAGAUAUACAUGUUUAUGUUAGUGAUAUGUUUUUGCUGAUCCAAGUCUGUUCCUACACACUAUUUAAAGUAGAUAACUACAAGUUAUCUCAUUUAAAUGGGAAAAGUAUUGUACUGUGAAAAAGUGUUGUGAGUUCAAAUAAAAAUACUAUGAAC